RNAcentral lists this long non-coding RNA (1133 nucleotides) under Junco hyemalis (dark-eyed junco). RNAcentral's name for it is "lncRNA (ENSJHYG00000011364.1)". The record is from RNAcentral. Lineage: Eukaryota; Metazoa; Chordata; Aves; Passeriformes; Passerellidae.
CUAGCAUAAGAAAAAAUGAAGGUGAACUGGCCAAGCCUUGGGCAGAACCAGGUCAACAUGUGCACGUAAAGAGCAAAGAUCGAUCAUCUUCUUUUGUUUUUUUCUUCUUCCAACCUGCAGAUGAACUUCUCAGCCCAGGCUCUUUCCAUGGUUCAGUGAGGAGAAAUGGCCAUUUUUGGCAUGUGGUUUGUCAGGUCAGUGUGGAUAUUUGUCCUGGGAGAGGAUGAAUCAGCCUCCACCUGUGUGCCUGUGAAAGCACCUGUGGGUGAACAGCUCGGAUGUGCAUAUCCCAUGGGACUGAAGGAAACCUACCCACUGUGCACCAGACCUGUCUGCUACAGACAAUUUCUGGAACUGCCUGAACUCCUAGGUUUGUUUAAAUUUCAUGUUGCAGUUUUUUCCCAAGAAGAGCCUCUCCAAGCUCCCAACAGCCUUUCCUGGAAAAGACACAGCAAGAGAGGUGAUUAAGGGAGCCCAGCAGGCACGUGCCCUGAGCAGACAGGCCCUGGCGCUCACAUGCUGUUUCUCCGAGUUAUUCUGCAGUCCCCACCAGAAAUAACCCCAAAGGCCCACGACUGCCUCUCACAGCACCCACACCAGCAGAGCCAGCUGCUCCUUCCCUUCCCACUCCCCUUGCAAGCAGCCGCACAUGGAUGAGCACUCCUACACCUUUCAUACCCUUCAGUGCGGCACCACGAGCAGAGGAGGAGAACAAAGGACAGCUCUGAACCAGUCACUGAGCUGGAUGAACCUUUGCUCUGCGUGGAUCUCACUCCACAGCUGAUUCCAGGCCCUGGCAGACCUGCGGGGAAAGGCUGUGUGUGCCAUGUGCUGCUGGCACUCUGGUUCUUCACACACCCCCGAGAUCCUGAACUCUGCUGGAGCAGCCGGUGGCACAGCUAGGUCAGGCCCUUAGAAAUCAGAUCUUUUACCAUUAGACUGUAUCUAAAAGGAAGCUGGCCUAUAUCUGAGGACAGCAGGCAGAGGAGGGAUAGACAAAACUACAUUUGUGCUCAACCUGACCUACUAAAUCAAACAGCCCAGUGUGAGUGUUGCAAUGAGACAUCUUUGCUUCCUAUAGACUUGGAUUUAAAAAAAAUAAAAAGCAUUUUAGAAACCUUCCUGUAGGUCUU